Molecule: long non-coding RNA, 247 nt
Organism: Suncus etruscus (white-toothed pygmy shrew)
Lineage: Eukaryota; Metazoa; Chordata; Mammalia; Eulipotyphla; Soricidae
Exons: 3
Source: RefSeq, a predicted model, not a curated record
CGAGGCUUCAGUGGUAGGUCAAAUCUCAUCACACACCAGAAGACACACACAGGGGAGAAGCCCCAUGUUUGUAGAGAAUGUGGGCAAGGCUUCAGUCAUAGGUCAAAUCUCAUCACACACCAAAGGAUACACACAGGAGAGAAGCCCCAUGCUUGUGGGGAGUGUGGGCGAGGCUUCAGUCAGAGGUCAAGUCUCAUCACACACCAAAGGAUACACACAGGAGAGAAGCCCCAUGCUUGUGGGGAGU